This 240-nucleotide ribosomal RNA is filed under the name uncultured eukaryote. RNAcentral's name for it is "partial Eukaryotic small subunit ribosomal RNA". It matches the Rfam family "Eukaryotic small subunit ribosomal RNA", at positions 1449 to 1688 of the family's 1831-position model. The record is from RNAcentral.
AGCAAUAACAGGUCUGUGAUGCCCUUAGAUGUCCGGGGCUGCACGCGCGCUACACUGACUGGCUCAGCGUGUGCCUACCCUACGCCGGCAGGCGCGGGUAACCCGUUGAACCCCAUUCGUGAUGGGGAUCGGGGAUUGCAAUUAUUCCCCAUGAACGAGGAAUUCCCAGUAAGUGCGGGUCAUAAGCUUGCGUUGAUUAAGUCCCUGCCCUUUGUACACACCGCCCGUCGCUACUACCGA